CGAGACGGGGCAAGGGGAAGCAACUCGGAACGGCUUUCGGCCGAGAGGGGAAAGGCGGCCCGUCGGAGGAGGUGGCUCAUCAUCUGGAUGGGAUCCAUUGCUCCUUCAUUCCUCUGGCCCCUCGUCCACGCGCGCGUCCGCCCUCCGCACCGAGGCACUCAGGGGCAGCCGGAAUCCUUCCACCGCAUCCCUCGCCCCUCCUUGGCCGAGGUACUGAUCCUUCGAGGUUGUUGAAGGACAAAUUGAGAAGCUUCAUAGACUUGAAGAGCUUCAAGAAUUCAGGGAUUUCACCUGUUAAGUUGUUCUGAGAUAGGUCCAUCACAGUGAUGCCUCUCAAAUUCACAAAAGAUUGAGGGAUUCUUCCAUGAAGAUGGUUGCCCUCCAUGUGGAGUGACUCCAAUUGGACGCACUGACCCAGAGUAGAUGGUAUCUGACCAGACAGUUGGUUAUAGGAGAUAUUCAGUGGACCGAGAUUGAUCAACUCGCCAAUCUCCAUUGGUAUUUCUCCAGAGAGUUGGUUGUGAGACAAGUCCAAACCUUCAGAAAGGUCGGAAAGAGUAAAGAGCUCCUUUGGUAUGCUUCCGUUGAAGCUGUUACAAGAGAGGUUCAAUAUGUGCAGUUUUUUGCAGUCUCCUAAAGCUCCUGGGAUUGGGCCACUCAAACUGUUUUCUUGUAAGUAAAGCUCACUCAAUUGACUCAAAUUACCAACUGAAAGUGGGAUCUGUCCAGAAAAUUUGUUCUGGGACAAGCUUAAGACAAACAAGUUGGGAAGAUUUCCAAUUGAUUCAGGAAGAUUCCCGGUAAGCAAAUUCCGUUCCAUGUAAAGAAGCUUGAGGCCUGUGAGGUGCUCUAUCUCAUGUGGUAUGGUGCCAGAAAUUUUAUUUGAUCUUAGUAACAGUACCUCUAUGCUCUUUGAAAGGCCUGCAACGGCACUCGGCAAGACUCCUUGAAGGAUUUUUACAUCCAAGCGUAAGUUCACCAGUUGUGUGCAAUUUGUCAACGAGGAUAGGAAAGACCAGUCUCCUGCUUCAAGUUGAUUCUUGCCUAGAUUCAGAUCGACUAGGCUGGGUAAAGUCCCAAAAGAUGGAAUGCUGCCAUAGAAUGCAUUAUUGCGGAGGUUGAUCACCUGGAGAUUGGCUGUGUUUGCUAGUGAAGUGGGGAUUUGGCCUUGGAACCAGUUUCCUUGCAUAAUCAAAGUUUGGAUGCUUGGAAGGGUAUAUCCAAUGUUGUGUGGAAGCUCCCCUACAAGAUUGUUUGUAGCCAUGCCAAGGUAUGAGAGUGCUGACAUGUUGUAAAGAGAGGCUGGGACACUCCCUGUCAAAAAGUUAUAAGUGAUGUCUAGUAUUUCCAGGUUUUGAAUUUCAUCUAUACUCAUGGGGAUGUUACCUUCGAAAUUAUUAUCUCCAAGCAAGAGCCAGCGAAGGGACGAAAAGUUCCCUAUAAAGGAAGGUAUGGUGCCAGAAAGAUUAUUUGAUUGCAAGAUAAGAUACUGCAAGGGUGAGUCAAUGUUCAACAAGGCUGGUAUGGACCCAGCAAAGCUGUUUGUUCCCAGUAAUAACUUUUGAAGUGACGUACUGUUAAACAGUGCAGGAGGAAUCUCUCCACUCAGGUGAUUGUUUGAUAAGGCCAAAAGUUGAAGUGAGGAACUAUUAGCUAGGAGAGGCGGGAUAGGUCCUGUGAGGCUAUUGUUCGUGAGAACAACAGAGUGAAGAGAAGAGCUGCUUCCAAGUGAACGUGGAAUGCUGCCCGUCAGACUAUUUGUAGCAAGACGUAAAACUGCAAGGUUUCGGAGCAUCCCCAACCCUUCUGGGAUACCUCCACUGAGCUUGUUGUGACCCAAACUGAGCUGCUGCAUAUCUGAGCAUUGGCUCAGGCUUGGGGGGAUCACACCAUCAAGGGAGUUGCUUCCAAGAUCAAUAGCUUGAAGGUGAACGCAUGAAGACAGAGUGCUUGGGAUCCUGCCAGUAAGAUUGUUUGUGCUGAGGUUAAGGUACCACAGCCUAUUUAGUUGCCCAAGUUCAGGUGGUAUUUGGCCAGUAAGUUGAUUGUUGGGGAUGUGGAUUUUUGUGAGGAAAGUGAGAUUGCCGAUACAUGGUGGUAUCUGUCCAUCGAGGUCAAGUGACUCGAGGUCCAGUGCAGUGACACGAGAUGCAUGUCUCUUGCUGCAAGUAACACCGGACCAACUGCAGAAUUGCAGUGAGUCAUUUUUCCAUGAGGCCAGGAGUCUAGCAGAGGUCGUGAGAUGGAGUUUAAGGCAGCGGAGAGCAUGGAGGUCGGUGUUAGAAUCAUUUUGGGGUGCUAUAGAAUCUAAUGAAGAUGCAUAAACAAGGGAGCAGAGGACAAGGACCAGGGGAAGUGAGGAACUGAGAGUGCCCAGAGCCUGAGUAGACAUGUAAUUUCUAUCACACACGCUUCGACAGUUUAGUUGAGGAACGGACUGACGACCGGUCAAGCUCGUGGAACAAGAAGGCAAUGGAGAACUCACUUGAGAGCUGCAAUGCGCUGUGGUCGUCCUCUCGCGACACCCCGGGAUGGAGUUUGAGGCACUGAAGGGCUUGCAAGUCGGUCUGAGGAUCAUUCUGCAGCGCUGCAGCACCUAAUGAAGGCGGCCUUGUGUUGAAUAAUCAACCAGGCCUUCAGCCAAUCAAGCAUCAGUUUAGAUUAUUCUUCCAAUUCAACUUUGAGAUGGUCAAAUUACAUGAUGGUCAAACGGACAUUCAUAUUUAUAUUCUACUGUACUGUACUGUGUGAAGACGUACUCAAGGCACCACUUGCUGGUGGGGGUUGGAAGUUGGAGUCCAAACUACAUAAUGAUGCAUGAAUUAAGGAAUCCAAA
Molecule: long non-coding RNA, 2836 nt
Organism: Triticum aestivum (bread wheat)
Lineage: Eukaryota; Viridiplantae; Streptophyta; Magnoliopsida; Poales; Poaceae
Exons: 2
Source: RefSeq, a predicted model, not a curated record